Molecule: ribosomal RNA, 385 nt
Filed under: uncultured bacterium
Lineage: Bacteria
Description: bacterial SSU rRNA
Rfam family: Bacterial small subunit ribosomal RNA
Source: RNAcentral
AUUGAACGCUGGCGGCAUGCCUUACACAUGCAAGUCGAACGGCAGCGGACCUUCGGUUCCCGAUGCUAGUGGCGCACGGGUGAGUAACACGUGGGAACGUACCCUUUAGUACGGAAUAACUCAGGGAAACUUGAGCUAAUACCGUAUGACUCCUUCGGGAGAAAGAUUUAUCGCUAAAGGAGCGGCCCGCGUCUGAUUAGGUAGUUGGUGAGGUAACGGCUCACCAAGCCGACGAUCAGUAGCUGGUCUGAGAGGAUGAUCAGCCACACUGGGACUGAGACACGGCCCAGACUCCUACGGGAGGCAGCAGUGGGGAAUAUUGGACAAUGGGGGCAACCCUGAUCCAGCCAUGCCGCGUGAGUGAAGAAGGCCUUCGGGUUGUAAG